GGAUAUUUGGUCUAGUGGUAUGAUUCUCACUUCAGGUGCGAGAGGUUAUGAGUUCAAUUCUUGAAAUACCCU
This 72-nucleotide transfer RNA is filed under the name Ipomoea nil (Japanese morning glory). It matches the Rfam family "tRNA". Rfam says of the family: Transfer RNA (tRNA) molecules are approximately 80 nucleotides in length. Their secondary structure includes four short double-helical elements and three loops (D, anti-codon, and T loops). Lineage: Eukaryota; Viridiplantae; Streptophyta; Magnoliopsida; Solanales; Convolvulaceae. The record is from Rfam by way of RNAcentral.